AGAGUUUGAUCAUGGCUCAGGAUGAACGCUGGCGGCGUGCUUAACACAUGCAAGUCGAACGGGAUCCUGCAAGCUUGCUUGCGGGUGAGAGUGGCGAACGGGUGAGUAAUGCGUGACCAACCUGCCCCAUGCUCCGGAAUAGCUCCUGGAAACGGGUGGUAAUGCCGGAUGCUCCCGCGCCCCGCAUGGGGUGUGGGGAAAGCUUUCGUGGCAUGGGAUGGGGUCGCGUCCUAUCAGCUUGUUGGCGGGGUGAGGGCCCACCAAGGCGUUGACGGGUAGCCGGCCUGAGAGGGCGACCGGCCACAUUGGGACUGAGAUACGGCCCAGACUCCUACGGGAGGCAGCAGUGGGGAAUAUUGCACAAUGGGCGCAAGCCUGAUGCAGCGACGCCGCGUGCGGGAUGGAGGCCUUCGGGUUGUAAACCGCUUUUGUUUGGGAGCAAGCCCUUCGGGGUGAGUGUACCUUUCGAAUAAGCACCGGCUAACUACGUGCCAGCAGCCGCGGUAAUACGUAGGGUGCGAGCGUUAUCCGGAAUUAUUGGGCGUAAAGGGCUCGUAGGCGGUUCGUCGCGUCCGGUGUGAAAGUCCAUCGCUUAACGGUGGAUCCGCGUCGGGUACGGGCGGGCUGGAGUGCGGUAGGGGAGACUGGAAUUCCCGGUGUAACGGUGGAAUGUGUAGAUAUCGGGAAGAACACCAAUGGCGAAGGCAGGUCUCUGGGCCGUUACUGACGCUGAGGAGCGAAAGCGUGGGGAGCGAACAGGAUUAGAUACCCUGGUAGUCC
RNAcentral lists this ribosomal RNA (780 nucleotides) under uncultured bacterium. RNAcentral describes it as "bacterial SSU rRNA". It matches the Rfam family "Bacterial small subunit ribosomal RNA", at positions 8 to 796 of the family's 1533-position model. The record is from RNAcentral.